Molecule: ribosomal RNA, 960 nt
Filed under: Vibrio sp. JZDN53
Lineage: Bacteria; Pseudomonadati; Pseudomonadota; Gammaproteobacteria; Vibrionales; Vibrionaceae
Description: bacterial SSU rRNA
Rfam family: Bacterial small subunit ribosomal RNA
Source: RNAcentral
AGAGUGGGCAUUGCCAUGGGCGCAGCCUGAUGCAGCCAUGCCGCGUGUAUGAAGAAGGCCUUCGGGUUGUAAAGUACUUUCAGUCGUGAGGAAGGUGGUGUUGUUAAUAGCAGCAUCAUUUGACGUUAGCGACAGAAGAAGCACCGGCUAACUCCGUGCCAGCAGCCGCGGUAAUACGGAGGGUGCGAGCGUUAAUCGGAAUUACUGGGCGUAAAGCGCAUGCAGGUGGUUUGUUAAGUCAGAUGUGAAAGCCCGGGGCUCAACCUCGGAAUAGCAUUUGAAACUGGCAGACUAGAGUACUGUAGAGGGGGGUAGAAUUUCAGGUGUAGCGGUGAAAUGCGUAGAGAUCUGAAGGAAUACCGGUGGCGAAGGCGGCCCCCUGGACAGAUACUGACACUCAGAUGCGAAAGCGUGGGGAGCAAACAGGAUUAGAUACCCUGGUAGUCCACGCCGUAAACGAUGUCUACUUGGAGGUUGUGGCCUUGAGCCGUGGCUUUCGGAGCUAACGCGUUAAGUAGACCGCCUGGGGAGUACGGUCGCAAGAUUAAAACUCAAAUGAAUUGACGGGGGCCCGCACAAGCGGUGGAGCAUGUGGUUUAAUUCGAUGCAACGCGAAGAACCUUACCUACUCUUGACAUCCAGAGAACUUUCCAGAGAUGGAUUGGUGCCUUCGGGAACUCUGAGACAGGUGCUGCAUGGCUGUCGUCAGCUCGUGUUGUGAAAUGUUGGGUUAAGUCCCGCAACGAGCGCAACCCUUAUCCUUGUUUGCCAGCGAGUAAUGUCGGGAACUCCAGGGAGACUGCCGGUGAUAAACCGGAGGAAGGUGGGGACGACGUCAAGUCAUCAUGGCCCUUACGAGUAGGGCUACACACGUGCUACAAUGGCGCAUACAGAGGGCAGCCAACUUGCGAAAGUGAGCGAAUCCCAAAAAGUGCGUCGUAGUCCGGAUUGGAGUCUGCA